RNAcentral lists this ribosomal RNA (460 nucleotides) under uncultured bacterium. RNAcentral's name for it is "partial 16S ribosomal RNA". It matches the Rfam family "Bacterial small subunit ribosomal RNA", at positions 338 to 795 of the family's 1533-position model. The record is from RNAcentral.
CCUACGGGUGGCAGCAGUGAGGAAUAUUGGUCAAUGGGCGCGAGUCUGAACCAGCCAAGUAGCGUGAAGGAUGACUGCCCUACGGGUUGUAAACUUCUUUUAUACAGGAAUAAAGUCAGGCACGCGUGCCUUUCUGUAUGUAUUUUAUGAAUAAGGAUCGGCUAACUCCGUGCCAGCAGCCGCGGUAAUACGGAGGAUCCGAGCGUUAUCCGGAUUUAUUGGGUUUAAAGGGUGCGUAGAUGGGUUGUUAAGUCAGUGGUGAAAGUUUGCGGCUCAACCGUAAAAUUGCAUUUGAUACUGGCAGUCUUGAGUACAGUUGAGGUAGGCGGAAUGCGUGGUGUAGCGGUGAAAUGCUUAGAUAUCACGAAGAACUCCGAUUGCGAAGGCAGCUUACUAAGCUGCCACUGACAUUGAUGCACGAAAGUGUGGGUAUCAAACAGGAUUAGAUACCCGCGUAGUC